GGAGAUUCUCAAAGGAAUUCUUAUGAAAAGCUUGCUAGAACGGAUGGAUUCUCAAAGGAAUUCUUAUGAACUCUUACAAGGUGCAACGUCAAAUUGUGAAUUUGAAGGGAGUAAAGUGCAUUCUUUUCCAAGAAUAUCGUAUGAAUACUUCCCUACUCGAUCCACUGUUACGUCUUUUGCCACAAUUGACGUGUGUUAGAGGGAUUGUCAAGAGAAUCAACUCAGGUCUGUUAAAAUUUAUCCCUUCCUUCAUUUUGGCCUAAUCUCGUAAUUAAAUGUGUUUGAUAACGAGGCAUAAGUAGAAGUUCAUACUCCCGAAUUUAUAUACAUUAUCCCAGUCUCAUAAGUUACAGUAUUCUCUCUUAUCAAGACUUCAUAUUCAAUUGAGUAUGGUCUUCUUCCAGUCAGUAGAGCGGAGGGUUUACAUAUAUAUAUAUAUAUAUGGUUAUUAAUACAUAUAAUGCAGGAAUUUCUAAGUGAUGUGACAGUGAAAAUGGGCAUUGCUGAAAACAAUAAGUGUAAAUCCUAAGAAACAUGAUUUCUCCUACAUGAAAUGAGUCCUAAGCAUGGAUUUUAUUGUGUAAGCAGGAAUGUAAACCUAGUAAGAUACUUUCUACCCAUUUAAUACUAAAGCAUGAAUAUUUCCCAACCCUUUUCACUAGCCAAACCCGUACUAGUUUACAAAUUAUUACAAAGAAAAUGAUUGAAUUACAAAAGAUAAGAAGUUACUACCAUAGGAAGCCUGAUCUUGACUUCCUCUCUAAGAUAUACAAUAAACCACAUCAAUGACAUUGUUAUUCCAAAGCCUUUAUCAUAUCAAGAUGUGUAAAAGUUUCUUAAGGACCUCAAGGGAUCUCGGGCAAUGCUCAUACCAAGAUUUGCAUAACCAAACAGAAUGAGUGCAAUGUGGAAGGGCCAGCCUUUAUGUGUCCAAGUUCAGAGGGAGCUCAAGGUCCUAAGGCAAGGUUUACACAAGAGGGACGGAACCUAGAUUCUAUGAAUAUAAUCGGUGGGCAUGCCCCUAUUGGGCAACCUCUGAUAAGAUGGUAAGUUAUAUAAGCAUGGCCAGAUAUAAAGCCUAGUAUGGAUGAGCUCAUAUGCGCGAGCCUACUACGGUAGAGCAGUUACACGUUCCGAGCCUUAUAGGGCCAGACAUCUAUUUUAUUUACUUUAUUGAGAGAGUUGAGUCACUACUAGCAAGUAAGUAUAUCUCUAGAUCAUCUUUGACUCCCAGUUACUUUAAGUUAUUAUAUUAUCAAUUCAAUUUCAGCUUUCAGUUAUUUAUUACCUUCAUACUCGGUGCAUUAUUUUGAACUGACGUCUUUUUUUCCGGGGUUGCUGUAUUUCAUGCGUGCAGGUUCAUACAUAUAGUCGAGUAGACCUCCUUAGUAGGUGUUUCCGGAGUUCAGCUUUAUCAGUAACCUCUACGUCCUUCGAAGUUGUCGGGUCUAGAGAUAUGUGUACAUCUUGUAUAUAUAUGUAUAUAGGUUCUGGGUAGGUCGAGGCCCUAUUCUGAUCACACUACAUCCAUCAGUAGAGGCUUGUAGACAUAUCUUAUCAGUUAGUGCAAUAUAUGGGCUUGUAGGCC
RNAcentral lists this long non-coding RNA (1588 nucleotides) under Nicotiana benthamiana. RNAcentral describes it as "long non-coding RNA (NBEN_LNC012002)". Lineage: Eukaryota; Viridiplantae; Streptophyta; Magnoliopsida; Solanales; Solanaceae. The record is from RNAcentral.